UCCUUAUUUCUAAGGCAGUCUCGCUAGAGUGCUCCCGAAGGAUAGCAACUAGCGACAGAGGUUGCGCUCGUUAAAGGACUUAACCCAACAUCUCACGACACGAGCUGACGACAGCCAUGCAGCACCUGUAUAUCUGUCUUAAUUGCUUAAGAAAGGGAUAUCUCUACCCCGAUCAAACAUAUGUCAAGCCCAGGUAAGGUUCCUCGCGUAGUGUCGAAUUAAACCACAUGUUCCACCGCUUGUGCGGACCCCCGUCAAUUUCUUUGAGUUUUAGUCUUGCGACCGUACUCCCCAGGCGGAUCACUUAUCGCGUUAGCUACGACACUAAGCUCCUCAAGGGAACCUAACGUCUAGUGAUCAUCGUUUACGGCGUGGACUAC
This 380-nucleotide unclassified non-coding RNA is filed under the name uncultured bacterium. RNAcentral describes it as "contains 16S-23S intergenic spacer region". The record is from RNAcentral.